This 147-nucleotide ribosomal RNA is filed under the name Escherichia coli. RNAcentral's name for it is "partial 16S ribosomal RNA". It matches the Rfam family "Bacterial small subunit ribosomal RNA", at positions 1 to 141 of the family's 1533-position model. Lineage: Bacteria; Pseudomonadati; Pseudomonadota; Gammaproteobacteria; Enterobacterales; Enterobacteriaceae. RNAcentral also lists the same sequence under 8 other names. The record is from RNAcentral.
AAAUUGAAGAGUUUGAUCAUGGCUCAGAUUGAACGCUGGCGGCAGGCCUAACACAUGCAAGUCGAACGGUAACAGGAAGCAGCUUGCUGCUUUGCUGACGAGUGGCGGACGGGUGAGUAAUGUCUGGGAAACUGCCUGAUGGAGGGG